Regulatory RNA element from Actibacterium atlanticum, 50 nucleotides. It matches the Rfam family "SAM/SAH riboswitch aptamer". The record is from Rfam. Lineage: Bacteria; Pseudomonadati; Pseudomonadota; Alphaproteobacteria; Rhodobacterales; Roseobacteraceae.
UAACCGUCACAACGGCUUCCUGACGUGGCGGGGGUAUAAUCAAUGGAGCA